Molecule: ribosomal RNA, 434 nt
Filed under: uncultured bacterium
Lineage: Bacteria
Description: partial 16S ribosomal RNA
Rfam family: Bacterial small subunit ribosomal RNA
Source: RNAcentral
AGCGAACGCUGGCGGCAGGCCUAACACAUGCAAGUCGAACGAACCUUUCGGGGUUAGUGGCGGACGGGUGAGUAACACGUGGGAACGUGCCUUUAGGUUCGGAAUAACUCAGGGAAACUUGUGCUAAUACCGAAUGUGCCCUUCGGGGGAAAGAUUUAUCGCCGUUAGAGCGGCCCGCGUCUGAUUAGCUAGUUGGUUGAGGUAAUGGCUCACCAAGGCGACGAUCAGUAGCUGGUCUGAGAGGAUGAUCAGCCACAUUGGGACUGAGACACGGCCCAAACUCCUACGGGAUGCAGCAGUGGGGAAUCUUGCGCAAUGGGCGAAAGCCUGACGCAGCCAUGCCGCGUGAAUGAUGAAGGUCUUAGGAUUGUAAAAUUCUUUCACCGGGGACGAUAAUGACGGUACCCGGAGAAGAAGCCCCGGCUAACUUCGUG